Molecule: long non-coding RNA, 636 nt
Organism: Apis mellifera (honey bee)
Lineage: Eukaryota; Metazoa; Arthropoda; Insecta; Hymenoptera; Apidae
Exons: 2
Source: RefSeq, a predicted model, not a curated record
CACAACAAUUCAUUUCUUUCCCAUCAACGCAAAUUUUAUAUUUUUUUUUUCGCUUUCUUUUUCGGUACCAUAUUCAUAUUACAUUGUAAUGUUGGAUCGAAAGGGAAAAGAAAAAAAAAAUGAAGAAAAAUACGACACGAUAAUGGAAAGAAAAUGAGAAAUGAAUAAUAGGAAGAAAAUAUUUGCGACCGUACGAGUGACUCUACGUAGGCGGGCAGAUGCUAAUCCCCAAUAGGCAAAUCAAGUUAGGUACUAUGCUACACUCAUAUUCGGCGAACGUCACCUCGUCGAGUGAACGGUGCUCUCUAUCCUCCUUCUCGAUGUCGUUCGAUUGUUUACACACGUCGAACACUAAGGUGACCCGUUCCGCGCGACAGUUGUCCAACCACGCGAACAAAACAUCUCGAUUCCACUCGCGAAAAUACUCACCCGCCAUCGCGUUGCUCCAUCGUGUUAAUUCCGUAUAAUACAGCAUGUAACGCUGUCGAUUACAGUGGAUACAUUUUUUGACAAUUAACAAAUACAUUAGAAUGAUAAAACAGUAGUGCCUGCUUAAAUUCAAAAUCAAAAUAUUUCAGCUUAAAUGACUUAACCUAAUUACUGUUCAUUACUUAAAAAUAAACCAAUUGAUAAAAA